RNAcentral lists this ribosomal RNA (592 nucleotides) under Morchella sp. Its description in RNAcentral is "partial large subunit ribosomal RNA". It matches the Rfam family "Eukaryotic large subunit ribosomal RNA", at positions 65 to 664 of the family's 3401-position model. Lineage: Eukaryota; Fungi; Ascomycota; Pezizomycetes; Pezizales; Morchellaceae. The record is from RNAcentral.
CCCACGGGGCAUGCCUCAGUACGGCGAGUGAGCGGCAAAAGCUCAAAUUUUAAAGCUGGCAUCUUCGGUGUCCGCGUUGUAAUUUUGUGAGGCAUCUCCGGGUAGGGCGCCGGCCUAAGUUCCUUGGAACAGGACGUCACAGAGGGUGAGAAUCCCGUGCUUGGCUGGCUGUCCCCGUCCAUGUGAGGUGUCUUCGACGAGUCGAGUUGUUUGGGAAUGCAGCUCAAAAUGGGUGGUAAAUUUCAUCUAAAGCUAAAUAUUGGUGGGAGACCGAUAGCGCACAAGUAGAGUGAUCGAAAGAUGAAAAGCACUUUGAAAAUAGAGUUAAAAAGUACGUGAAAUUGUUGAAAGGGAAGCGCUUGAGAUCAGACUUCGGUAGGGGGUGAUCAGCCGUCCUUCUGGGCGGUGCACUUGCCCCUCUCCGGGCCAGCAUCGGUUGAGGCGGCGGGAUAAAGGUCCCGGGAAUGUGGCUCCUUCGCGGGAGUGUUAUAGCCCGGGUGAAUGCCGCCAGUCUCGACCGAGGACCGCACCCGCAAGGGUUAGGAUGCUUGGCAUAAUGGUCUUCAGCGACCCGUCUUGAACCACGGGACCA